This is a non-coding RNA of Misgurnus anguillicaudatus (oriental weatherfish), 1245 nucleotides long. Lineage: Eukaryota; Metazoa; Chordata; Actinopteri; Cypriniformes; Cobitidae. The record is from RefSeq and is a predicted model, not a curated record.
AGUUAUUGAAGUUUUGCUAGCAAUAAAUCAGGUGAUAAAAAAGGGAAAUACAGUGGGUUUUAUGUGGAUACCUGCACAUGUGGGGAUUCAGGGAAAUGAAGAAGCUGAUGAGAUGGCAAAAAAGGCCACAUAUAAGAGCGCAGUUGAUUUGAAAGUAAUGUAUGGAAGAAUAGAGUGUAAAACUAUUAUACGGGGAAAAAUAAAGGAAUUAUGGCAGAAAGAAUGGGAAAAAGGAAAUAAAGGCAGACACUAUUUCUCAAUACAACCCACAUUAAUGCACACACCAAACACAAGAUUAGAGAGGAGGGAUCGUGUGGUAAUCACUAGAUUAAGACUGGGACAUUGUGCACUGAAUUUUGGGCUGGCAAGAGUAGGCAAACAUCCUGAUGGUAGAUGUGAGUGUGGAGAAUUAGAAACUGUGAAACAUGUAGUAAUGGAAUGUGAAAAUCUUCAUGAUGCAAGAACUCGCAUGUUUUCUGAGCUGAUGGAUUCAGGAAUAUCAUCUUUAUCUUUAAAAACGAUUCUUGGAAAUAUGGAUUAUGUAACAGCAAAGGCUUUAAUAAUUUUUUUACUCCACACCGGUCUUUACUCAAGGAUAUAAACUGUGAGGCAAAGUUCUUCAGAUGAACUGUGGAGGGCAGUAAUACACCAUAGCAGUGUCUAAACUGCCGCAAAUCAUACAAGAAGAAGAAGAAGAAGCAGCCAGGAGGAAAGCAAUCUUCCACACUCGUUUGGUCUUGUGUCAAAGCUGUGUGAAACUGGAGGGAGAAACUUGAGAGACCGUGCCGGAAGAAUGCUGGACAGAGUUCCCUAAAAUUCAUUAAUUUCAAAGUUCAACAUGAAUGGUGGUGGUCCACUGCAGAAGCAAGCAUUUGAAAAAACAUCAGUUCUCAGUUAUUAAAGAUGCUGUGUUGAACAACUUCCCAGCAGCAACAGAACUGGAAGUGAAGGAUGCAAUGGGGGCAUUUCAAACAGGCCGUGGUGUAUAGAAAUGAGUACAAUUAAUAAGUUGAAGUGAACUGAAGAUAGUUUGUUAAUGUUUAGAUGUUAUUUCAUUUUUAAAAUUGUAUUUUGUUAUUUAUGCUUUUAUUUUGUUACUGUUUUUAUUCUUUUUGUUAAAAGUAGUUUUUCUUCAUUUUGUCUUAUCUGAAUUUCUAUUGUAUUAAUACUAUUUUUUGUAAUAAAUUGCAUGAUUACAUGUUUAUGAGAACCUUUUUUAAUGGAUUAAAAAGAAUUCUUUAGCCA